This 77-nucleotide transfer RNA is filed under the name Dehalococcoidales bacterium. Its description in RNAcentral is "tRNA-Phe". It matches the Rfam family "tRNA". Rfam says of the family: Transfer RNA (tRNA) molecules are approximately 80 nucleotides in length. Their secondary structure includes four short double-helical elements and three loops (D, anti-codon, and T loops). Further hydrogen bonds mediate the characteristic L-shaped molecular structure. tRNAs have two regions of fundamental functional importance: the anti-codon, which is responsible for specific mRNA codon recognition, and the 3' end, to which the tRNAs corresponding amino acid is attached (by aminoacyl-tRNA synthetases). tRNAs cope with the degeneracy of the genetic code in two manners: having more than one tRNA (with a specific anti-codon) for a particular amino acid; and 'wobble' base-pairing, i.e. permitting non-standard base-pairing at the 3rd anti-codon position. Lineage: Bacteria; Bacillati; Chloroflexota; Dehalococcoidia; Dehalococcoidales. RNAcentral also lists the same sequence under 1 other name. The record is from RNAcentral.
GCCGAGGUAGCUCAGCUAGGUAGAGCAGCGGACUGAAAAUCCGCGUGUCCCCAGUUCGAUCCUGGGCCUCGGCACCA